GGGGUGAGGUGUGGGGUUGGCAGGGGGGCUCACCUUUUCUUAUUAUUAUUUUCCAGAUCUUUAACAUUUCCAGUACGUUUAAGCAGACGGAGGCAGAUUAUUUGGAGAUGUUCAUUCAGGUUGCGAAGGAGGUUGGAGGGACCUGCAAUCUGGCCCCAAUCCAGCGCCUGGACCUGUUGGUGCGAGAUUGGCAGCUCUCUGGAGCCUACGGCGCGGACACGGGGCAGGAGUAUCUUGGAGAAAUCACACAGGACCUGGAGGUCUCUGCUGAGCAGCCCCUGGUGUUGGAAGCCCUGAGGGCAAGCGGCACCCGGUGCUACCUAUUGCCCCACCCU
Long non-coding RNA from Trachemys scripta elegans, 335 nucleotides. RefSeq lists it as uncharacterized. Lineage: Eukaryota; Metazoa; Chordata; Testudines; Emydidae. The transcript has 4 exons. The record is from RefSeq and is a predicted model, not a curated record.